Molecule: ribosomal RNA, 468 nt
Filed under: uncultured bacterium
Lineage: Bacteria
Description: partial 16S ribosomal RNA
Rfam family: Bacterial small subunit ribosomal RNA
Source: RNAcentral
GACGAACGCUGGCGGCGUGCUUAACACAUGCAAGUCGAACGGAAAGGCCCUGCUUUUGUGGGGUGCUCGAGUGGCGAACGGGUGAGUAACACGUGAGUAACCUGCCCUUGACUUUGGGAUAACUUCAGGAAACUGGGGCUAAUACCGGAUAGGAUCUCUUGCUGCAUGGUGGGGGCUGGAAAGUUUCGGCGGUUGGGGAUGGACUCGCGGCUUAUCAGCUUGUUGGUGGGGUAGUGGCUUACCAAGGCUAUGACGGGUAGCCGGCCUGAGAGGGGGACCGGCCACAUUGGGACUGAGAUACGGCCCAGACUCCUACGGGAGGCAACGGUGGAGAGUAUUGCACAAUGGGCGGAAGCCUGAUGCAGCAACGCCGCGUGCGGGAUGACGGCCUUCGGGUUGUAAACCGCUGUCGCCUGUGACGAGGCGUGAGUGACGGUAAUGGGUAAAGAAGCACCGGCUAACUACGUG